This 378-nucleotide ribosomal RNA is filed under the name uncultured bacterium. Its description in RNAcentral is "bacterial SSU rRNA". It matches the Rfam family "Bacterial small subunit ribosomal RNA", at positions 28 to 404 of the family's 1533-position model. The record is from RNAcentral.
GACGAACGCUGGCGGCGUGCUUAACACAUGCAAGUCGAGCGGUAAGGCCCUUUCGGGGUACGACGAGCGGCGAACGGGUGAGUAACACGUGGGUGACCUGCCCUCCAGCUCUGGGAGUAAGCCUGGGAAACCGGGUCGUAAUACCGGAUAUGACUCCAUGACGCAUGUUGUGGGGUGGAAAGCCUUGUGCGGCUGAGGAUGGGCCCGCGGCCUAUCAGCUUGUUGGUGGGGUGAUGGCCUACCAAGGCGACGACGGGUAGCCGGCCUGAGAGGGCGACCGGCCACACUGGGACUGAGACACGGCCCAGACUCCUACGGGAGGCAGCAGUGGGGAAUCUUGCGCAAUGGGCGAAAGCCUGACGCAGCGACGCCGCGUGA